CCCUUAGAUGUUCUGGGCCGCACACGCGCUACACUGAGGGAGGCAGCGUGUACUCCUGGAUCGAAAGAUUUGGGUAACCCGCGAAUCUCCUUCGUGCUAGGGAUUGAGGUUUGCAAUUAUCCUUCAUGAACGAGGAAUUCCCAGUAAGUGCAAGUCAUAAGCUUGCGCUGACUACGUCCCUGCCCUUUGUACACACCGCCCGUCGCUACUACCGAUUGAAUGAUUUAGUGAGGACUUCGGACUGGGACCGAUGCGGCUUUCGGGCUGCGUCGGUAUUCUGGAAAGAUGUCCAAACUGUAUCAUUUAGAGGAAGUAAAAGUCGUANCA
Molecule: ribosomal RNA, 327 nt
Filed under: uncultured eukaryote
Lineage: Eukaryota
Description: partial 18S ribosomal RNA
Rfam family: Eukaryotic small subunit ribosomal RNA
Source: RNAcentral